AUUGAACGCUGGCGGCAUGCCUUACACAUGCAAGUCGAACGGCAGCACGGGUGCUUGCCCCUGGUGGCGAGUGGCGAACGGGUGAGUAAUACAUCGGAACAUGUCCUGUAGUGGGGGAUAGCCCGGCGAAAGCCGGAUUAAUACCGCAUACGAUCUACGGAUGAAAGCGGGGGACCUUCGGGCCUCGCGCUAUAGGGUUGGCCGAUGGCUGAUUAGCUAGUUGGUGGGGUAAAGGCCUACCAAGGCGACGAUCAGUAGCUGGUCUGAGAGGACGACCAGCCACACUGGGACUGAGACACGGCCCAGACUCCUACGGGAGGCAGCAGUGGGGAAUUUUGGACAAUGGGCGAAAGCCUGAUCCAGCAAUGCCACGUGUGUGAAGAAGGCCUUCGGGUUGUAAAGCACUUUUGUCCGGAAAGAAAUCCUUGGCCCUAAUACGGUCGGGGGAUGACGGUACCGGAAGAAUAAGCACCGGCUAACUACGUG
This 486-nucleotide ribosomal RNA is filed under the name uncultured bacterium. RNAcentral describes it as "partial 16S ribosomal RNA". It matches the Rfam family "Bacterial small subunit ribosomal RNA", at positions 30 to 507 of the family's 1533-position model. The record is from RNAcentral.